RNAcentral lists this ribosomal RNA (1501 nucleotides) under uncultured Marinobacter sp. RNAcentral describes it as "bacterial SSU rRNA". It matches the Rfam family "Bacterial small subunit ribosomal RNA". Lineage: Bacteria; Pseudomonadati; Pseudomonadota; Gammaproteobacteria; Pseudomonadales; Marinobacteraceae. The record is from RNAcentral.
GAGUUUGAUCCUGGCUCAGAUUGAACGCUGGCGGCAGGCUUAACACAUGCAAGUCGAGCGGUAACAGGGGAAGCUUGCUUCCCGCUGACGAGCGGCGGACGGGUGAGUAAUGCUUAGGAAUCUGCCCAGUAGUGGGGGAUAGCCCGGGGAAACCCGGAUUAAUACCGCAUACGUCCUACGGGAGAAAGCAGGGGAUCUUCGGACCUUGCGCUAUUGGAUGAGCCUAUGUCGGAUUAGCUAGUUGGUGGGGUAAAGGCCUACCAAGGCAACGAUCCGUAGCUGGUCUGAGAGGAUGAUCAGCCACAUCGGGACUGAGACACGGCCCGAACUCCUACGGGAGGCAGCAGUGGGGAAUAUUGGACAAUGGGGGCAACCCUGAUCCAGCCAUGCCGCGUGUGUGAAGAAGGCUUUCGGGUUGUAAAGCACUUUCAGCGAGGAAGAACGCCUGGCGGUUAAUACCCGCCAGGAAAGACAUCACUCGCAGAAGAAGCACCGGCUAACUCCGUGCCAGCAGCCGCGGUAAUACGGAGGGUGCAAGCGUUAAUCGGAAUUACUGGGCGUAAAGCGCGCGUAGGUGGCUUGAUAAGCCGGUUGUGAAAGCCCCGGGCUCAACCUGGGAACGGCAUCCGGAACUGUCAAGCUAGAGUAUGGUAGAGGGUAGUGGAAUUUCCUGUGUAGCGGUGAAAUGCGUAGAUAUAGGAAGGAACACCAGUGGCGAAGGCGGCUACCUGGACCAAUACUGACGCUGAGGUGCGAAAGCGUGGGGAGCAAACAGGAUUAGAUACCCUGGUAGUCCACGCCGUAAACGAUGUCAACUAGCCGUUGGGACUCUUGAAGUCUUAGUGGCGCAGCUAACGCACUAAGUUGACCGCCUGGGGAGUACGGCCGCAAGGUUAAAACUCAAAUGAAUUGACGGGGGGCCCGCACAAGCGGUGGAGCAUGUGGUUUAAUUCGACGCAACGCGAAGAACCUUACCUGGCCUUGACAUCCUGCGAACUUUCUAGAGAUAGAUUGGUGCCUUCGGGAACGCAGUGACAGGUGCUGCAUGGCCGUCGUCAGCUCGUGUCGUGAGAUGUUGGGUUAAGUCCCGUAACGAGCGCAACCCUUAUCCCUGGUUGCUAGCAGUUCGGCUGAGAACUCCAGGGAGACUGCCGGUGACAAACCGGAGGAAGGUGGGGAUGACGUCAGGUCAUCAUGGCCCUUACGGCCAGGGCUACACACGUGCUACAAUGGUGCGUACAGAGGGCUGCAAGCUCGCGAGAGCAAGCCAAUCCCUUAAAACGCAUCGUAGUCCGGAUCGGAGUCUGCAACUCGACUCCGUGAAGUCGGAAUCGCUAGUAAUCGCGAAUCAGAAUGUCGCGGUGAAUACGUUCCCGGGCCUUGUACACACCGCCCGUCACACCAUGGGAGUGGAUUGCACCAGAAGUGGUUAGUCUAACCUUCGGGAGGACGAUCACCACGGUGUGGUUCAUGACUGGGGUGAAGUCGUAACAAGGUAACC